UAUGUCAGGACAAACUGUGCACGAGCAUU
RNAcentral lists this non-coding RNA (29 nucleotides) under Mus musculus (house mouse). The record is from RNAcentral. Lineage: Eukaryota; Metazoa; Chordata; Mammalia; Rodentia; Muridae.